Long non-coding RNA from Rhineura floridana, 2447 nucleotides. RefSeq lists it as uncharacterized. NCBI's taxonomy places the organism in Eukaryota, Metazoa, Chordata, Lepidosauria, Squamata, Rhineuridae. The record is from RefSeq and is a predicted model, not a curated record. The transcript is spliced from 3 exons.
CCCAAACAUUUCUGCUUGCCCGACGGCGCCGUCUUCCCUCUCCACCCCCCCGUGCGCUGUGGGGCCGAUUUGUGGGGUGUGCAAGGGGCGGAGAGCGGGGGAAGCCGUGUCCCGCCGGCGGGAAUCCUCGCAGUGGCUCCUGCUAGCGGGGCAGUGAGGUGGCUCCGUCAUCAUUUCAGUUCCGGGGUGUGCACAGAGGGAAUAUGGACUGUAAUGAGUAAAACAUGCACAUGGACGGCCUUCAAGGCGAUCCCGACUUAUGGCGACCCUAUGAACAGGGUUUUCACGCUGAGCGAACUCUGCGGGUAGCGAGUGGGGAACCUGGACUCUCAAAAUGGAUAAAAUGGAUAUAGAUGUAUCUGCUGCGUUCAACAAUAAAUGAUGCAGAAGAGACUUGUUGGUCUUGCCACAGCAGAACAUGAAACAGCUGGAAAACUGGACCCAAAAGAACUCAGGUUAAAGUUCGCCGAAGAGUUCUUAGUUCUUUCUCUUUGGAUGUGGUGGUAAGGAUAGUAACGGCAGGACAGCAUCAUGGAUGACUUUGGAGGGCCCCGCUUGGCGGCGUUUUGCUUUACGGGGCUUCAUUAAUGCAGCGGUCUCAAUUAAGCUGAUGUGGAAAUGCAGAUAACUGAACAUAAGAGCAAAAAAAAUUAAGAAAGUGAAAUGGACAGAUCUCCCUCCCUGGAGCGCCUCUGCAGCCCACGGAGCUAAUAGAGCCUUGGCAUAGUCCCGUGCCUGUGAUCCGAUCUAGAUUGCUUUCUAGACCUGGAUAGGCUCUAGAAGCAUUGAGGUGGGGAAUGAAUUAAGGGGGAUCUGCUUAUCCCUUGAGCCAGAGAGCCAAGGCCGAGAAUGGAGAGAUUAAUAGAAGGUGGCCCCAGGGGGGUUUGGCAGGCAUAACGGGGCUUCGCGCAACGGAUCACAUCAGCACCUGGCUUGGUUCCUGUCCUCCUUUGUGCCUGUGUUGCCCCUCACAUGCUGGUCACUUUCUCAUCUUCCACCACCUUUGUGGAGGAGUCUGAGGGCCCCUCUUCUGGAUCCAUCGCCAGGUUGUCGUAAAUGUUUGCGCUGGAGGGAGAGAAGGAAGAAAGAAGCUUGAGAAUGUCCUGCAGGAUCAGGCCAAAGGCCAAUGUUAGCUUUGUACACAGCACGCAUGCAAAGCAUGUUAUUUCUCCCCCAAAAUCCUGCCAUUUACUGCCCACAAAGCUGUAAUUGCCAGUGCCUUUAACAAAUGGCAGCUCCUGGAAUAAUGAACUGUGAAUGCAAUGGUGCGCACACAGCCCUCGUCCAACUCCUAUCCCCACAGUGGCCAGACAGACGUAUCUGGGAGCCCCUCCCGCCUGCGAUUCCCGGUGCUGGAGGGAGCUUCCCGCCAUCAUGACCAGGAGCCAUGGAGCAUAGGAAGGGCUCUGCAGCUGGCCAGGCCAAAGGGGCCCAAAUAGUCGGGCAUCCUGUUCCCACAGUGGCCGACCAGAUGCCCCAAUGGGGAAAGGCCCCCAAGCAGGACCUGAGCGCAAGAGCGACUCUCCCUGCAGCUGGGAUUCAGAGGGAAGACAUGGACAUGGGGGCCAGGCCUGUAGGUGGGGGGGGGCUCCCCUAGUUGUUUUCUGCCCCCUAAUUUUUUUUAGAAAAAAAUAAUAAUUAAAUUUGUUACAGAAAAAAAUCUCUCCCCCUCCUACUAUUUUUGGUCCCCCCCGAACUUGUAGGCUGGCUGUGGGCCUGCUUGUGCCUAGUAGCCACUGACAGCCUUCUCUUCCUCCAUGACUUUGUCUAAUCCCUUUUAAAGCCAUCCAAGCUGGAGUUCCAUAGUUUAACCAUGCCCUGCCUCUUCUCUUCCUAAGGGAGCUUUAAGCCAACCAAGCUGAUUAUGAGCAGUGGGGGGAGACGGAGAGGUACCCAUCCUGUCUACCAUCCCUGUCAGUGACCAACCAAAUAAAAACAGCUUUAAAACACACACACACACAGAGACACAACCAGACAGACCAUAAUACUUACCGAGGGUGAAUGUCUCUCUGCUUUGCCAGUCUGCAGUCAGUAACCCUAUAAAGAUAGGAUCACACCACAGAGUAAACUAGGGUGGUGGGUGGGGGAAAAUCAAGGUGCAAGAUCAUGCACCCCUCUAAGCACUGGACAAGCCCUCCCCUCCCCUCCCCAAAUUCCACCCAAUUUGCAUUCUUCCAGUGUUUCCUUGAGAACCAAACACUUUUAAAAAGGUGUCUCUCCAUUUAAACUUGGGUCUUUCUCUUCCACAUUGUGCAUGGUGCCUCCCAUCCAACAGAAUGGCCAGGCUCACACUGGCUUAGCGCCAGCAGUGUCCCCUGCUCCAGACUACUACUGUACCUCAGAAGGGACUAGAAGCCUGAUUUUUUUCUUUGCUUGUUUGAAAAACUGGAUUCUGCAAUUUGAAACAAAAAGCCAUCUGAACCCUCCUGAGUUCAGACUUCACAAGU